GAUGAACGCUGGCGGCGUGCCUAAUACAUGCAAGUCGAGCGAACGGACGAGAAGCUUGCUUCUCUGAUGUUAGCGGCGGACGGGUGAGUAACACGUGGAUAACCUACCUAUAAGACUGGGAUAACUUCGGGAAACCGUAGCUAAUACCGGAUAAUAUUUUGAACCGCAUGGUUCAAAAGUGAAAGACGGUCUUGCUGUCACUUAUAGAUGGAUCCGCGCUGCAUUAGCUAGUUGGUAAGGUAACGGCUUAUCAAGGCAACGAUGCAUAGCCGACCUGAGAGGGUGAUCGGCCACACUGGAACUGAGACACGGUCCAGACUCCUACGGGAGGCAGCAGUAGGGAAUCUUCCGCAAUGGGCGAAAGCCUGACGGAGCAACGCCGCGUGAGUGAUGAAGGUCUUCGGAUCGUAAAACUCUGUUAUUAGGGAAGAACAUAUGUGUAAGUAACGGUGCACAUCUUGACGGUACCUAAUCAGAAAGCCACGGCUAACUACGUG
RNAcentral lists this ribosomal RNA (497 nucleotides) under uncultured bacterium. RNAcentral's name for it is "partial 16S ribosomal RNA". It matches the Rfam family "Bacterial small subunit ribosomal RNA", at positions 28 to 507 of the family's 1533-position model. The record is from RNAcentral.